This 1108-nucleotide ribosomal RNA is filed under the name Craniella cranium. RNAcentral's name for it is "SSU rRNA". It matches the Rfam family "Eukaryotic small subunit ribosomal RNA", at positions 24 to 1127 of the family's 1831-position model. The record is from RNAcentral. Lineage: Eukaryota; Metazoa; Porifera; Demospongiae; Tetractinellida; Tetillidae.
UCAUAUGCUUGUCUCAAAGACUAAGCCAUGCAUGUCCAAGUAUGAACGCUUCGUACUGUGAAACUGCGAAUGGCUCAUUAAAUCAGUUAUAGUUUAUUUGAUGGUCGUUUUGCUACAUGGAUAACUGUGGUAAUUCUAGAGCUAAUACAUGCACAAGGUCCCGACUCUCGGAAGGGACGUAUUUAUUAGAUCCAAAACCAGCGCGGGUGGCCUCUCGGGGUGCCCGGUACCUGGGCGAUUCAUGGUAACUGCUCGAAUCGCACGGCCCUGGCGCCGGCGAUGGUCCAUUCAAAUUUCUGCCCUAUCAACUUUCGAUGGUACGGUAGUGGCCUACCAUGGUUGCAACGGGUGACGGAGAAUUAGGGUUCGAUUCCGGAGAGGGAGCCCGAGAAACGGCUACCACAUCCAAGGAAGGCAGCAGGCGCGCAAAUUACCCAAUCCCGACUCGGGGAGGUAGUGACAAUAAAUAACAAUGCCGGGCUCUCGUAGUCUGGCAAUUGGAAUGAGUCCAAUUUAAAUCCCUUAACGAGGAACAAUUGGAGGGCAAGUCUGGUGCCAGCAGCCGCGGUAAUUCCAGCUCCAAUAGCGUAUAUUAAAGUUGUUGCAGUUAAAAAGCUCGUAGUUGGAUUUCGGGGCAGCCCGGGCGGUCCGCCGCGAGGCGAGCACUGUUCGGGCGCCCUUCCUCUCGAAGGCUUCGACUGCUCUUGAUUGCGGUGGUCGAGGAGUUCGGGACGUUUACUUUGAAAAAAUUAGAGUGUUCAAGGCAGGCGUUGGCCUGAAUACAUUAGCAUGGAAUAAUGGAAGAGGACCUCGGUCCUAUUUUGUUGGUUUCCAGGGCCGAAGUAAUGAUCAAGAGGGACAGUUGGGGGCAUUCGUAUUUAAUUGUCAGAGGUGAAAUUCUCGGAUUUAUGAAAGACGAACAAGUGCGAAAGCAUUUGCCAAGGAUGUUUUCAUUAAUCAAGAACGAAAGUUGGGGGUUCGAAGACGAUCAGAUACCGUCGUAGUCCCAACCAUAAACUAUGCCGACUAGGGAUCGGCGGAUGUUAGCGUCUGACUCCGUCGGCNCCUUGCGAGAAAUCAAGAGUCUUUGGGUUCCGGGGGGAGUAUG